RNAcentral lists this long non-coding RNA (901 nucleotides) under Manihot esculenta (cassava). RNAcentral describes it as "long non-coding RNA (MESC_LNC002598)". Lineage: Eukaryota; Viridiplantae; Streptophyta; Magnoliopsida; Malpighiales; Euphorbiaceae. The record is from RNAcentral.
UCACAUAGCAUGCAGAGGCAAUAUGCCAUGGAAGAAACCAGUGCAGGAUAGUGAAUUCUGCUGUGAGAUUACAUUUUGAGCUUAACAAACGUUGAAUUUAUUACAAGCAUCAAGCGAAUGGUUUUUUCAAAUAUAGAGAUAGGCAAAUAAUGUCCAGAGGAUUUGAUGCAUCGCAAAGCCAUUCAUGGGGACGGGCAGGCACUGUUUUGCUGCAGUGUAGAUAUAACUGUAGGCAAAGUGGACCGUGGUCCAUUUCAAUCAGGUGUUAGCUGCUUCAAUCCAGACACGCCUUUUUCACACGCCUCUUAUGCCACGGCUUCUACAGGGAACUGGUGUCGCUGUAACUCAAAAGCCUUGUAAGUUUCUUCUAAAGGCUCUCAAUUUCUUUUCAUUGUUUUAACAAUGGAUUAGUACUAGAGUCAUCAACUCUCUUAGAGUUGAGUGGUAUCAACCUAGUCGAAGCCAAUUGUAAAAUAUAAUUUGACCUCCUGCAUGUACUGAUUUGUCUAGUGCGCAACAAUUAAUGACGAGGUGCUUCAAUUUUGUUUGGCAGCUUUGAUACCUGUGUCUAUCCGCCCGCUCUGCGAGAAAGCUUAAGUCGACAAUUAGAGGGAAUAGUUUAUUUGAAAUUGCUUUGCUUUUAUGAUGUACUCUCAGUGCUAAUUAAUUACAAUUGCUUUUCUAAUUGAUAUACAACUAGUCUCGUGUUACAAUGACUGAACUUCAGUUAACAAAAAAAAAGAAAAUAAUCAAUUGGGCUCUUUCCCUUUUUCUUUCCCGCAAGUAGAGUAUCAGAACAUGUCAAUUUUCUCGCCUCUGGUUAAAGUGAAGGUAGCUGGAACAGACUCUUCCAUGUGCGUUGAAGUCGCUGUAGGCAUUAUCUGGUUGGCUGUUAUAGCCU